Molecule: ribosomal RNA, 253 nt
Filed under: uncultured bacterium
Lineage: Bacteria
Description: partial 16S ribosomal RNA
Rfam family: Bacterial small subunit ribosomal RNA
Source: RNAcentral
UACGGAGGAUGCAAGCGUUAUCCGGAAUGAUUGGGCGUAAAGCGUCCGCAGGUGGCAAUGUAAGUCUGCUGUUAAAGAGUCUAGCUCAACUAGAUAAAAGCAGUGGAAACUACAUAGCUAGAGUACGUUCGGGGCAGAGGGAAUUCCUGGUGUAGCGGUGAAAUGCGUAGAGAUCAGGAAGAACACCGGUGGCGAAGGCGCUCUGCUAGGCCGUAACUGACACUGAGGCGCGAAGGCGUGGGGAGCGAACGGG